AUAUACGGGGGGAGACUCUUAU
This 22-nucleotide microRNA is filed under the name Dasypus novemcinctus (nine-banded armadillo). RNAcentral's name for it is "dno-miR-1185-3p". The record is from miRBase by way of RNAcentral. Lineage: Eukaryota; Metazoa; Chordata; Mammalia; Cingulata; Dasypodidae.